UGGGGAAUAUUGCACAAUGGACGGAAGUCUGAUGCAGCAACGCCGCGUGCGGGAUGACGGCCUUCGGGUUGUAAACCGCUUUUUCUCAUGACGAAGUUUUUUGACGGUAGUGGGGGAAGAAGCACCGGCUAACUACGUGCCAGCAGCCGCGGUGAUACGUAGGGUGCGAGCGUUGUCCGGAAUUAUUGGGCGUAAAGAGCUUGUAGGCGGUUUGUCGCGUCGAUAGUGCAAACUCAGUGCUUAACGCUGAGCCUGCUGUUGAUACGGGCAGACUAGAGGAAGGUAGGGGAGAAUGGAAUUCCCGGUGGAGCGGUGGAAUGCGCAGAUAUCGGGAGGAACACCUGUGGCGAAGGCGGUUCUCUGGGCCUUUCCUGACGCUGAGAAGCGAAAGCGUGGGGAGCGAACAGG
Molecule: ribosomal RNA, 408 nt
Filed under: Fusobacteriota bacterium
Lineage: Bacteria; Fusobacteriati; Fusobacteriota
Description: Fusobacteria bacterium partial 16S ribosomal RNA
Rfam family: Bacterial small subunit ribosomal RNA
Source: RNAcentral